Molecule: transfer RNA, 89 nt
Filed under: Ignicoccus pacificus DSM 13166
Lineage: Archaea; Thermoproteati; Thermoproteota; Thermoprotei; Desulfurococcales; Desulfurococcaceae
Also listed under: 2 other names
Description: tRNA-Ser
Rfam family: tRNA
About the family: Transfer RNA (tRNA) molecules are approximately 80 nucleotides in length. Their secondary structure includes four short double-helical elements and three loops (D, anti-codon, and T loops).
Source: RNAcentral
GCCGGGGUGCCCGAGCGGCCCAAGGGGGUGGCCUGGAGAGCCACUCCCCCUAACGGGGGGCGCGGGUUCGAAUCCCGCCCCCGGCGCCA